UGGGGGAUAUUGCACAAUGGGCGAAAGCCUGAUGCAGCGACGCCGCGUGGGGGAUGAAGGCCUUCGGGUUGUAAACUUCUUUUGCUCUGAACAAGGCAUGCUAAUGGGUGUGUUGAGUGUAGGGGUUGAUUAGCGCCGGCUAACUACGUGCCAGCAGCCGCGGUAAUACGUAGGGCGCGAGCGUUGUCCGGAAUUAUUGGGCGUAAAGGGCUUGUAGGUGGCUGGUUGCGUCUGUCGUGAAAGCUCAUGGCUUAACUGUGGGUUUGCGGUGGGUACGGGCUGGCUUGGGUGCAGUAGGGGAGGCUGUAAUUCCUGGUGUAGCGGUGGAAUGCGCAGGUAUCAGGAGGAUUACCGGUGGCGAAGGCGGGUCUCUGGGCUGUUACUGACACUGAGGAGCGAAAGCAUGGGGAGCGAACAGG
This 419-nucleotide ribosomal RNA is filed under the name bacterium. RNAcentral describes it as "partial 16S ribosomal RNA". It matches the Rfam family "Bacterial small subunit ribosomal RNA", at positions 355 to 776 of the family's 1533-position model. The record is from RNAcentral.